Molecule: ribosomal RNA, 277 nt
Filed under: uncultured prokaryote
Description: partial 16S ribosomal RNA
Rfam family: Bacterial small subunit ribosomal RNA
Source: RNAcentral
UACGUAGGGGGCGAGCGUUGUCCGGAUUUACAGGGCGUAAAGGGAGCGUAGGCGGACUUUUAAGUGAGAUGUGAAAUACCCGGGCUUAACUUGGGUGCUGCAUUUCAAACUGGAAGUCUAGAGUGCAGGAGAGGAGAAUGGAAUUCCUAGUGUAGCGGUGAAAUGCGUAGAGAUUAGGAAGAACACCAGUGGCGAAGGCGAUUCUCUGGACUGUAACUGACGCUGAGGCUCGAAAGCGUGGGGAGCAAACAGGAUUAGAUACCCCGGUAGUCCCUGA